UUCUGUGUGAGCUUUGUUCUGUACAUUGCUUGUGGCUCUCGUUGCUGAAAACUAAUUUUAAAAAGAGUUUUCAUUUACUUCGCGCGGACGGCAAGCAGGAAGCGUCACUGCGAGGGAGAACGCGCCGCUUCUAUUCUUGUGACCAAAUCCAGUGUCCAUGGGGGUACAUCGGCGUCUUGUGUUGUUAAAAAAAAGAUUACUGCUGAUGAAGAUGAGGGACCUAGAAGAAAAGAAGAAAAGAAAGAGGAAAUUCUGGGUGCACCCCAUCUGGCAAGUCAGAAAGGAGGAGGGUGAAUACCACACCGCGUUUCCAGUCAUGAAGACAGAUGAAGACAUGUUCUUCCGAUACUAUCGGAUGAGUCCGAAGCAAUUUGACGACCUGCACAGCAUUGUCCGCAGGGACUUGAGGAGGAAUUUUGUUUGCCGGGAGCCUCUUUGCUCUGAAGAGAGACUUGCUAUAACCCUCAGGUACCUAUCCUCGGGAAUGGCAAUCAAGCAGAUAGCACUCGCAUUUCGAGUUGCGCCAGCAACAUGUCGGCUUGUGAUUCACAAUGCCUGCAGAGUGAUCUGGAAGCACUUGGAGCCGCUCUACCUGCCUGGGACGUUCUCCAUUGUUUUGAUGGCCAUCGUGGAUGCAAAGUACAAGUUCAUGAUGGUAGAUGUCGGUGCACCAGGCCGACACAGUGACGGCGGAGUCUUCAAAUCGUGCACAUUUGGAAAAAAGCUAAACGAUUGCGUCGUGGCCCUACCAGCAGCAGUACGCCUUCCAAA
Molecule: non-coding RNA, 771 nt
Organism: Dermacentor albipictus
Lineage: Eukaryota; Metazoa; Arthropoda; Arachnida; Ixodida; Ixodidae
Source: RefSeq, a predicted model, not a curated record